RNAcentral lists this ribosomal RNA (428 nucleotides) under uncultured bacterium. RNAcentral describes it as "bacterial SSU rRNA". It matches the Rfam family "Bacterial small subunit ribosomal RNA", at positions 12 to 451 of the family's 1533-position model. The record is from RNAcentral.
UUUGAUCAUGGCUCAGGGUAAACGCUGGCGGCGUGCCUAAAACAUGCAAGUCGAACGGGCACCUUCGGGUGUCAGUGGCAGACGGCUGAGUAACGCGUGGGUGACGUACCUAUCGGUGGGGAAUAACUGCCCGAAAGGGUGGCUAAUACCGCAUACGUCCACUGGAGUCGUCCAGUGGGGAAAACCGCAAGGUGCCGAUGGAGCGGCCCGCGUUCGAUUAGCUGGUUGGUGGGGUAACGGCCUACCAAGGCGACGAUCGAUAGCUGGUCUCAGAGGAUGAUCAGCCAGACUGGGACUGAGACACGGCCCAGACUCCUACGGGAGGCAGCAGUUAGGAAUUUUGGGCAAUGGGCGCAAGCCUGACCCAGCAACGCCGCGUGGGUGACGAAGGCCUUCGGGUUGUAAAGCCCUUUUCUGGGGGAAGAUGA